RNAcentral lists this small RNA (580 nucleotides) under Pan troglodytes (chimpanzee). Its description in RNAcentral is "retained intron". The record is from RNAcentral. Lineage: Eukaryota; Metazoa; Chordata; Mammalia; Primates; Hominidae.
AGGGCAGAGGGAGGAAGGACAGCAGACCAGACAGUCACAGCAGCCCUGACAAAAGCGUUCCUGGAACUCAAGCUCUUCUCCACAGAGGAGGACAGAGCAGACAGCAGAGACCAUGGAGUCUCCCUGGGCCCCUCCCUACAGAUGGUGCAUCCCCUGGCAGAGGCUCCUGCUCACAGCCUCACUUCUAACCUUCUGGAACCCGCCCACCACUGCCAAGCUCACUAUUGAAUCCACGCCGUUCAAUGUCGCAGAGGGGAAGGAGGUGCUUCUACUUGUCCACAAUCUGCCCCAGCAUCUUUUUGGCUACGUCUGGUACAAAGGGGAAAGAGUGGAUGCCAACCAUCAAAUUAUAGGAUAUGUAAUAGGAACUCAACAAGCUACCCCAGGGCCCGCAUACAGUGGUCGAGAGACAGUAUACCCCAAUGCAUCCCUGCUGAUCCAGAACAUCAUCCAGAAUGACACAGGAUUCUAUACCCUACACAUCAUAAAGUCAGAUCUUGUGAAUGAAGAAGCAACUGGCCAGUUCCGGGUAUACCGUGAGUGAUUCCCUCAUGACCUCUGGAUGUUGGGGGUCAGUUCU